Molecule: ribosomal RNA, 819 nt
Filed under: Hongkongmyces pedis
Lineage: Eukaryota; Fungi; Ascomycota; Dothideomycetes; Pleosporales; Lindgomycetaceae
Description: SSU rRNA
Rfam family: Eukaryotic small subunit ribosomal RNA
Source: RNAcentral
GUAAUUCUAGAGCUAAUACAUGCUAAAAACCCCAACUUCGGGAGGGGUGUAUUUAUUAGAUAAAAAACCAAUGCCCUUCGGGGCUCUUUGGUGAUUCAUGAUAACUUAACGGAUCGCAUGGCCUUGCGCCGGCGACGGUUCAUUCAAAUUUCUGCCCUAUCAACUUUCGAUGGUAAGGUAUUGGCUUACCAUGGUUUCAACGGGUAACGGGGAAUUAGGGUUCGAUUCCGGAGAGGGAGCCUGAGAAACGGCUACCACAUCCAAGGAAGGCAGCAGGCGCGCAAAUUACCCAAUCCCGACACGGGGAGGUAGUGACAAUAAAUACUGAUACAGGGCUCUUUUGGGUCUUGUAAUUGGAAUGAGUACAAUUUAAACCCCUUAACGAGGAACAAUUGGAGGGCAAGUCUGGUGCCAGCAGCCGCGGUAAUUCCAGCUCCAAUAGCGUAUAUUAAAGUUGUUGCAGUUAAAAAGCUCGUAGUUGAAACUUGGGCCUGGCUGGCCGGUCCGCCUCACCGCGUGUACUGGUCCGGCCGGGCCUUUCCUUCUGGAGAGCCUCAUGCCCUUCACUGGGUGUGUUGGGGAACCAGGACUUUUACUUUGAAAAAAUUAGAGUGUUCAAAGCAGGCCUUUGCUCGAAUACGUUAGCAUGGAAUAAUAGAAUAGGACGUGCGAUCCUAUUUUGUUGGUUUCUAGGACCGCCGUAAUGAUUAAUAGGGAUAGUCGGGGGCAUCAGUAUUCAAUUGUCAGAGGUGAAAUUCUUGGAUUUAUUGAAGACUAACUACUGCGAAAGCAUUUGCCAAGGAUGUUUUCAUUAAUCAG